This 460-nucleotide ribosomal RNA is filed under the name uncultured bacterium. Its description in RNAcentral is "partial 16S ribosomal RNA". It matches the Rfam family "Bacterial small subunit ribosomal RNA", at positions 338 to 795 of the family's 1533-position model. The record is from RNAcentral.
CCUACGGGUGACAGCAGUGAGGAAUAUUGGUCAAUGGGCGGAAGCCUGAACCAGCCAUGUAGCGUGAAGGAUGACGGCCCUACGGGUUGUAAACUUCUUUUAUAAAGGAAUAAAGUUAGGCACGUGUACCUUUUUGUAUGUACUUUAUGAAUAAGGAUCGGCUAACUCCGUGCCAGCAGCCGCGGUAAUACGGAGGAUCCGAGCGUUAUCCGGAUUUAUUGGGUUUAAAGGGAGCGUAGAUGGGUUGUUAAGUCAGUUGUGAAAGUUUGGGGCUAAACCGUAAAAUUGCAAUUGAUACUGGCAGCCUAGAGUACAGAUGAGGUAGGCGGAAUUCGUGGUGUAGCGGUGAAAUGCUUAGAUAUCACGAAGAACACCGAUUGCGAAGGCAGCCUACUAAACUGCCACUGACAUUGAUGCUCGAAAGUGUGGGUAGCAAACAGGAUUAGAUACCCCAGUAGUC